GGUGGCAGCUAUAUAAAAGCACGUUGAUUGCACUAGUUUCCAACAGCACCAAAGUUAAGUAACGUUGUGCGUGGAUGGUAAUAGGACGGGUGACCGUCUAUGGGGGAUACCACGUGCUGCUGACU
This 125-nucleotide ribosomal RNA is filed under the name Diaphorina citri (Asian citrus psyllid). The record is from RNAcentral. Lineage: Eukaryota; Metazoa; Arthropoda; Insecta; Hemiptera; Psyllidae.